GUAAGGGAAUCUUUCACAAUGGGCGAAAGCCUGAUGGAGCAACGCCGCGUGUGUGAUGAAGGGUUUCGGCUCGUAAAACACUGUUGUAAGAGAAGAAUGACAUUGAGAGUAACUGUUCAAUGUGUGACGGUAUCUUACCAGAAAGGAACGGCUAAAUACGCGCCAG
Molecule: ribosomal RNA, 166 nt
Filed under: uncultured bacterium
Lineage: Bacteria
Description: partial 16S rRNA
Rfam family: Bacterial small subunit ribosomal RNA
Source: RNAcentral